This is a non-coding RNA of Saimiri boliviensis boliviensis (Bolivian squirrel monkey), 2284 nucleotides long. NCBI's taxonomy places the organism in Eukaryota, Metazoa, Chordata, Mammalia, Primates, Cebidae. The record is from RefSeq and is a predicted model, not a curated record.
AUGGUGGCCUGCCGGGUGAUUGGCAUCCUCAGCCGCUUCUCUGCCUCCAGGAUCCUCCGCCCCCAAGGUUAUAUAUGCCUUGUACAGAGUCUUCUGCUUUGCUGACCAGAACCCAUAUUAACUAUGGAGUCAAAGGGGAUGUGGCAGUUAUUCAAAUUAACUCUCCCAAUUCAAAGGUAAAUACACUGAGUAAAGAGCUGCGUUUAGAGGUCAUAGAAGUUAUGAAUGAAAUCCGGCCUAGCGAUCAAAUCAGAAGUGCCGUUCUUAUCUCAUCAAAGCCAGGCUGCUUUAUUGCAGGUGCUGAUGUCAACAUGUUAGCUGCUUGCAAGAUCCCUCGAGAAGUAACACAGAUCUCACAAGAAGCACAGAGCACACUUGAGAAACUUGAAAAGUCCACAAAGACUACUGUGGCUGCCAUCAGUGGAUCCUGCCUGGGAGGAGGACUUGAGCUUGCUGUUUCAUGCCAAUACAUAAUAGCAACAAAAGACAGAAAAUAGGAUUAGGUACCCCUGAAGUCUUGUUGGGGAUCUUACCAGGAGCAGGGGGCACGCAAAGGCUGCCCAAAAUGGUGGGGUGUCUGCUGCUUUUGACAUGAUGCUGACUGGUAGAAACAUUCGUGCAGACAGGGCAAAGCAAAUGGGACUGGUUGGCCAAUUGGUGGAACCCCUGGGACCAGGACUAAAACCUCCAGAGGAACGGACAAUCGAAUACACAGAAGAAGGUGCAAUUACUUUCGCCAAAGGACUAGCUGAUAAGAAGAUCUCUCCAAAGAGAGACAAGGGAUUGGUGGAAAAAUUGACAGCAUAUGCCAUGACUAUUCCACUUGUCAGGCGACAGGUUUACAAAAACGUGGAAGAAAAAGUGCGAAAGCAGACUAAAGGCCUUUAUCCUGCACCUCUGAAAAUAAUUGAUGUGGUAGAGACUGGAAUUGAUCAAGGGAGUGAUGCUGGUAUCUCUCUGAAUCUCAGAAAUUUGGAGAGCUUGCAAUGACCGAAGAAUCAAAGGCCUUGAUGGGACUCUACCAUGGUCAGGUCCUGUGCAAGAAGAAUAAAUUUGGAGCUCCACAGAAGGAUGUUAAGCAUCUGGCUAUUCUUGGUGCAGGGCUGAUGGGAGCAGGCAUCGCCCAAGUCUCUGUGGAUAAGGGGCUAAAGACUAUACUUAAAGAUACCACACUCACUGGGCUAGGCCAAGGACAGCAACAGGCAUUCAAAGGAUUGAAUGAGAAAAUGAAGAAGAAAGCUCUAACAUCAUUUGAAAGGGAUUUCGUCUUCAGCAACUUGACUGGGCAGCUUGAUUACCAAGGUUUUGAAAAGGCCGACAUGGUGAUUGAAGCUGUGUUUGAGAACCUUAGUCUUAAGCACAGAGUGCUAAAGGGAGUAGAAGCGAUGAUUCCAGAUCACUGUAUCCUUGCCAGUAACACAUCCCUCUCCCAAUCAGUGAAAUCGCUGCUGUCAGCAAAAGACCUGAGAAGGUGAUUGGCAUGCACUACUUCUCUCCCGUGGACAAGAUGCAGCUGCUGGAGAUGAUCACAACCGAAAAAACUUCCAAAGACACCAGUGCUUCAGCUGUAGCAGUUGAUCUCAAGCAGGGCAAGGUCAUCACUGUGGUUAAGGAUGGACCUGACUUCUAUACCACCAGGUGCCUUGCACCCAUGAUGUCUGAAGUCAUCUGAAUCCUCCAGGAAGGAGUUGACCCGAAGAAGCUGGAUUCCCUGACCACAAGCUUUGGCCUUCCUGUGGGUGCCGCGACACUGGUGGAUGAAGUUGGCGUGGAUGUAGCAAAACGUGUGACAGAAGAUCUGAGCAAAGUCUUUGGGGAGCGAUUUGGAGGUGGAAACCCAGAACUGCUGGCACAGAGGGUCUCCAAGGGCUUCCUAGGUCGAAAGUCUGGGAAGGGCUUUUACAUCUGUCAGGAGGGUGUGAAGAGUAAGAAUUUGAAUUCUGACAUGGAUAGUAUUUUGGCGAGUCUGAAGGUACCUCCAAAGUCUGAAGUCUCCUCAGACGAAGACAUCCAGUUCUGCCUGGUGACAAGAUUUGUGAAUGAGGCAGUCAUGUGCCUCCAGGAGGGGAUCUUGGCCACACCUGCAGAGGGAGACAUCGGAGCGGUCUUUGGGCUCGGCUUCCCGCCCUGUCUUGGAGGGCCUUUCCGCUUUGUGGAUCUGUAUGGCGCCCAGAAGCUAGUGGACUGGUUCCAGAAGUAUGAGGCUGCCCAUGGAAAAGAGUUCACGCCCUGCCAGCUGCUGGCUGACCAUGCUAACAGCCCUGACAAGAAGUUCUCCCAGUGA